UUCGUCUAGAGGCCCAGGACAGCGCCCUCUCAAGGCGCAGACACGGGUUCGAAUCCCGUAAGGACCA
RNAcentral lists this transfer RNA (67 nucleotides) under Chloroflexota bacterium. Its description in RNAcentral is "Chloroflexi bacterium (sediment metagenome) tRNA-Glu". It matches the Rfam family "tRNA". From Rfam's summary of the family: Transfer RNA (tRNA) molecules are approximately 80 nucleotides in length. Their secondary structure includes four short double-helical elements and three loops (D, anti-codon, and T loops). The record is from RNAcentral. Lineage: Bacteria; Bacillati; Chloroflexota.